AAGGGGAUGGCUCAGUGGUAGAGCACAUGCUUAGCAUGCUCGGGGGCCUGGGUUCAAUCCCCAGUGCCUCUG
Molecule: transfer RNA, 72 nt
Filed under: Camelus bactrianus (Bactrian camel)
Lineage: Eukaryota; Metazoa; Chordata; Mammalia; Artiodactyla; Camelidae
Also listed under: 1 other name
Rfam family: tRNA
About the family: Transfer RNA (tRNA) molecules are approximately 80 nucleotides in length. Their secondary structure includes four short double-helical elements and three loops (D, anti-codon, and T loops). Further hydrogen bonds mediate the characteristic L-shaped molecular structure. tRNAs have two regions of fundamental functional importance: the anti-codon, which is responsible for specific mRNA codon recognition, and the 3' end, to which the tRNAs corresponding amino acid is attached (by aminoacyl-tRNA synthetases). tRNAs cope with the degeneracy of the genetic code in two manners: having more than one tRNA (with a specific anti-codon) for a particular amino acid; and 'wobble' base-pairing, i.e. permitting non-standard base-pairing at the 3rd anti-codon position.
Source: Rfam by way of RNAcentral